CCUACGGGUGGCAGCAGUGAGGGAUAUUGGUCAAUGGACGAGAGUCUGAACCAGCCACGUAGCGUGAAGGAUGACUGCCCUAUGGGUUGUAAACUUCUUUUAUAUGGGAGUAAAAUGUUCCACGAGUGGGAUUUUGUGUGUACCAUAUGAAUAAGGAUCGGCUAACUCCGUGCCAGCAGCCGCGGUAAUACGGAGGAUCCGAGCGUUAUCCGGAUUUAUUGGGUUUAAAGGGAGCGUAGGUGGAUUGGUAAGUCAGUUGUGAAAGUUUGCGGCUCAACCGUAAAAUUGCAGUUGAAACUGGCAGUCUUGAGUACAGUAGAGGUGGGCGGAAUUCGUGGUGUAGCGGUGAAAUGCGUAGAUAUCACGAAGAACUCCGAUUGCGAAGGCAGUUCACUGGACUGCAACUGACACUGAGGCUCGAAAGUGUGGGUAUCAAACAGGAUUAGAUACCCGAGUAAUC
This 460-nucleotide ribosomal RNA is filed under the name uncultured bacterium. Its description in RNAcentral is "partial 16S ribosomal RNA". It matches the Rfam family "Bacterial small subunit ribosomal RNA", at positions 338 to 795 of the family's 1533-position model. The record is from RNAcentral.